RNAcentral lists this ribosomal RNA (253 nucleotides) under uncultured bacterium. Its description in RNAcentral is "partial 16S ribosomal RNA". It matches the Rfam family "Bacterial small subunit ribosomal RNA", at positions 524 to 776 of the family's 1533-position model. The record is from RNAcentral.
UACAGAGGUCCCAAGCGUUGUUCGGAUUCACUGGGCGUAGAGGGUGCGUAGGUGGUGGGGUAAGUCGGAUGUGAAAUCUCCAAGCUCAACUUGGAAACUGCAUUGGAAACUACCUUGCUAGAGGAUUUGAGGGGGGAUUGGAAUACUUGGUGUAGCAGUGAAAUGCGUAGAUAUCAAGUGGAACACCAGUGGCGAAGGCGAAUCCCUGGAAAAUACCUGACACUGAGGCACGAAAGCUAGGGGAGCAAACAGG